Molecule: ribosomal RNA, 460 nt
Filed under: uncultured bacterium
Lineage: Bacteria
Description: partial 16S ribosomal RNA
Rfam family: Bacterial small subunit ribosomal RNA
Source: RNAcentral
CCUACGGGUGGCAGCAGUGAGGAAUAUUGGUCAAUGGGCUUACGCCUGAACCAGCCAAGUCGCGUGAGGUAAGACUGCCCUAUGGGUUGUAAACCUCUUUUGUCAGGGAGCAACGCCGGCUACGUGUAGCCGGACUGAGAGUACCUGAAGAAAAAGCAUCGGCUAACUCCGUGCCAGCAGCCGCGGUAAUACGGAGGAUGCGAGCGUUAUCCGGAUUGAUUGGGUUUAAAGGCUUCGUAGGCGGAAUGCCAAGUCAGCGGUAAAAUAGCGGGGAUCAACCUCGCUCCGCCGUUGCAAUUGGUGUUCUUGCGUGGGCGAGAAGUAUGCGGAAUGCGUGGUGUAGCGGUGAAAUGCAUAGAUAUCACGCAGAACUCCGAUUGCGAAGGCAGCAUACCGGCGCCCAACUGACGCUGAAGCACGAAAGCGUGGGUAUCGAACAGGAUUAGAUACCCGAGUAGUC